Molecule: long non-coding RNA, 1155 nt
Organism: Gopherus evgoodei (Goodes thornscrub tortoise)
Lineage: Eukaryota; Metazoa; Chordata; Testudines; Testudinidae
Exons: 2
Source: RefSeq, a predicted model, not a curated record
GUAGGACUGUGCACUGGAAGAGUCGUCCUCCUGAUGUUUGAUAUGACCAGAACUCCAUGAUGCUAAGAGAUCAGUCCUGUCCUUUCCUUGGUGCAGUUACAUGACCACUUUAAGCUCUCAGGCAUGUGAGGAGGGAGAAGAAAAACAAGAUGUGCAAGGAUGUAAGUGAGGCUAUAACUAUGAACACCUAGUCAAUGCCAUCAAACAGCUGUCAGAGGAGAUGCCACCAUCUUCCUUGUUGUUGAAAGGCAACCCAAGGGCCCCUGAAGACACAAUGUCUGGGACAUGUAGGUGAAAAUUCUUCAAUCUCUUCCUCAAAUCUCAGUCAUCUGGAUGUUUGCCUACAGAGAACACAACAGCAAUAAAUUGUAUUAAAUAUAAAUGAAUACAGUAGAAAUUCUUCCAUGGGUAUUCUAGAUACAUCACUGUUAUUGCCCAUCUCAGAAGGCCCAUUGGGUGAUGACUUGCCAUCUUCUCUUUUAUUGUCCAGUUCAUGAGUUAAUCCUUCUGGCUGCUGUAUGAAGCUGUGGGCAAUUAAUAAUAAUUCAUCACUGUUUGCUGAAAGCAUAUUGUGUUGUGUGAAAGAGAUGUAAUCUCAAAAUAUAUGAGGUGAAGCAAGGAGUGGAAUUUCAGUGUUAUUGCACUAGGGUUUUAUUAAUAGGUUAGUGAUUGUAGAAAUAACAACAACAAAAUCUAUGUGUAUAAUUUGAAGGCAAACUCUCCCCUCUACUAAUCCAGCCUUUCAGACCUGCUGUAAACAAUUGCAUUUCAAGGGAAAGUUGCUGAGAAAAACAAAGUCCAUUUUUAAAAAAUAAACAUGAUAGAAAUGUCUGUCUAAAAACUCUAAGCCCUGAGUUGUUAAGGGAAGAUAAUUUUAUUAAUUAGAUGAUCAAUUAUUACAAUAUUAGGAUACCAUUUCUUGGGCUGGUUUGGUGCAGCUUGUGUUUGUUUGGGAUACUUUUAUUAUCCAGUUUGGCCAUCAAUAAUGAAAUUGUUCCAGUGAGUUAUUUAAUGUAAUUGCUAUAAUUCUCUAAUCUGAAUAUUUACAUCAAACAUUGUGGGCUAAUCACAGAUACAUUCACCGUAUUUUAUCUAUGUUGAUUUUCAAUAUCUAUACCGAUUGUGUUCAGAAAUAAACUGCCAUGCUUGAGCUGU